GGURGCUAAUACCGCAUAACGUCUUCGGACCAAAGUGGGGGACCUUCGGGCCUCACACCAUCGGAUGUGCCCAGAUGGGAUUAGCUAGUAGGUGAGGUAACGGCUCACCUAGGCGACGAUCCCUAGCUGGUCUGAGAGGAUGACCAGCCACACUGGAACUGAGACACGGUCCAGACUCCUACGGGAGGCAGCAGUGGGGAAUAUUGCACAAUGGGCGCAAGCCUGAUGCAGCCAUGCCGCGUGUGUGAAGAAGGCCUUCGGGUUGUAAAGCACUUUCAGCGAGGAGGAAGGCAGUCGUGUUAAUAGCGCGAUUGAUUGACGUUACUCGCAGAAGAAGCACCGGCUAACUCCGUGCCAGCAGCCGCGGUAAUACGGAGGGUGCAAGCGUUAAUCGGAAUUACUGGGCGUAAAGCGCACGCAGGCGGUUUGUUAAGUCAGAUGUGAAAUCCCCGCGCUUAACGU
Molecule: ribosomal RNA, 462 nt
Filed under: gamma proteobacterium SR4
Lineage: Bacteria; Pseudomonadati; Pseudomonadota; Gammaproteobacteria
Description: bacterial SSU rRNA
Rfam family: Bacterial small subunit ribosomal RNA
Source: RNAcentral